This 803-nucleotide ribosomal RNA is filed under the name uncultured bacterium. RNAcentral's name for it is "bacterial SSU rRNA". It matches the Rfam family "Bacterial small subunit ribosomal RNA", at positions 8 to 808 of the family's 1533-position model. The record is from RNAcentral.
AGAGUUUGAUCCUGGCUCAAGAUGAACGCUGGCGGCGUGCUUAACACAUGCAAGUCGAACGAAGCACCUCAGAUCGAUUUCUUCGGAAUGAUCUCUCUGGUGACUGAGUGGCGGACGGGUGAGUAACGCGUGGGUAACCUGCCUCAUACAGGGGGAUAACAGUUAGAAAUGACUGCUAAUACCGCAUAAGCGCACGAUACCGCAUGGUGUCGUGUGAAAAACUCCGGUGGUAUGAGAUGGACCCGCGUCUGAUUAGCUUGUUGGCGGGGUAACGGCCCACCAAGGCGAUGAUUGGUAGCCGGACUGAGAGGUUGAACGGCCACAUUGGGACUGAGACACGGCCCAGACUCCUACGGGAGGCAGCAGUGGGGGAUAUUGCACAAUGGGGGAAACCCUGAUGCAGCAACGCCGCGUGAGUGAAGAAGUAUUUCGGUAUGUAAAGCUCUAUCAGCAGGGAAGAUAAUGACGGUACCUGACUAAGAAGCUCCGGCUAAAUACGUGCCAGCAGCCGCGGUAAUACGUAUGGAGCAAGCGUUAUCCGGAUUUACUGGGUGUAAAGGGUGCGUAGGUGGCAGUGCAAGUCAGAUGUGAAAGGCCGGGGCUCAACCCCGGAGCUGCAUUUGAAACUGCUCGGCUAGAGUACAGGAGAGGCAGGCGGAAUUCCUAGUGUAGCGGUGAAAUGCGUAGAUGUUAGGAGGAACACCAGUGGCGAAGGCGGCCUGCUGGACUGUUACUGACACUGAGGCACGAAAGCGUGGGGAGCAAACCAGAAUUAGAUACCCUGGUAGUCCACGCCGUAAACG